This 326-nucleotide ribosomal RNA is filed under the name uncultured bacterium. RNAcentral describes it as "bacterial SSU rRNA". It matches the Rfam family "Bacterial small subunit ribosomal RNA", at positions 124 to 447 of the family's 1533-position model. The record is from RNAcentral.
ACCUGCCGUCUACUCUUGGCCAGCCUUCUGAAAGGAAGAUUAAUCCAGGAUGGGAUCAUGAGUUCACAUGUCCGCAUGAUUAAAGGUAUUUUCCGGUAGACGAUGGGGAUGCGUUCCAUUAGAUAGUAGGCGGGGUAACGGCCCACCUAGUCAACGAUGGAUAGGGGUUCUGAGAGGAAGGUCCCCCACAUUGGAACUGAGACACGGUCCAAACUCCUACGGGAGGCAGCAGUGAGGAAUAUUGGUCAAUGGGCGAUGGCCUGAACCAGCCAAGUAGCGUGAAGGAUGACUGCCCUAUGGGUUGUAAACUUCUUUUAUAAAGGAAU